RNAcentral lists this ribosomal RNA (484 nucleotides) under uncultured bacterium. RNAcentral describes it as "partial 16S ribosomal RNA". It matches the Rfam family "Bacterial small subunit ribosomal RNA", at positions 30 to 507 of the family's 1533-position model. The record is from RNAcentral.
AUUGAACGCUGGCGGCAGGCCUAACACAUGCAAGUCGAGCGGUAGAGAGAAGCUUGCUUCUCUUGAGAGCGGCGGACGGGUGAGUAAUGCCUAGGAAUCUGCCUGGUAGUGGGGGAUAACGUUCGGAAACGGACGCUAAUACCGCAUACGUCCUACGGGAGAAAGCAGGGGACCUUCGGGCCUUGCGCUAUCAGAUGAGCCUAGGUCGGAUUAGCUAGUUGGUGGGGUAAUGGCUCACCAAGGCGACGAUCCGUAACUGGUCUGAGAGGAUGAUCAGUCACACUGGAACUGAGACACGGUCCAGACUCCUACGGGAGGCAGCAGUGGGGAAUAUUGGACAAUGGGCGAAAGCCCGAUCCAGCCAUGCCGCGUGUGUGAAGAAGGUCUUCGGAUUGUAAAGCACUUUAAGUUGGGAGGAAGGGCAGUAAAUUAAUACUUUGCUGUUUUGACGUUACCGACAGAAUAAGCACCGGCUAACUCUGUG